Molecule: long non-coding RNA, 9367 nt
Filed under: Linum usitatissimum (flax)
Lineage: Eukaryota; Viridiplantae; Streptophyta; Magnoliopsida; Malpighiales; Linaceae
Description: long non-coding RNA (LUSI_LNC004313)
Source: RNAcentral
AAAAAAGAGGUGUUUUACUACCAAAAUAAAGAACACAAGGAGAUUAGAGAGAUGGAAACACAAUAUUAUUGUUCUUGUGUCAUUGUGUGUAUGAGUGUGAGAAUCAUAGAAGUCGUCGUUGUGCGCCGAAUGAAGCAGAGAAGCCAAAUAUGAAGAAAGAAUAGUAGCUAGGAAGGUAGGAACUGUACGCAAGUGUAAUAAGAAGUGAACUUAAUUAGCCUUCUUCUUACUUCAUUUUCUUGACCUUUCAACCAUUUGUGUUCCUAUAUAUACCUCUGUAUAGCAAUACUACUCGAAUCAAAACAAAAACAAAGCAAGAGUUGAUUAAGAGUACUACUAGCUACUACUGUGUUCAACAGCUGAAUCCAAAUAGCUAUAAUAAUGGCUUCCAAAGCUGCAACUUUCUUCUUCUUUUUGCUGGUGGCAUCUUUGCUCAUUACUGCUUCUUUUGGAGCUCGUCCGGAUAUUGUCGAAAAAUCUGCCACCGGAAAUCUGCAGGUGAGUGAUGUUAGCUCCGCACCAUCUCCUCCAGUUUCAGACGUUAAUGAUGAAAUCGACUGUAAUGGUGAAGGAGGCAAAAAAACCAAAAAGAAGAAAAAGAAGAACAGUCCUGGAGCAGACGGUCCUGGUAAAAAUUAAUUAAUAGCAUGGGAUCUAUCGACUAUCGUCACCAUCAUCUAAGAAGUAGCUAGCUCCCUCCUGGCUGUUGUACUUUUCAUAUACUAACAAGUCUAUCUGCUUACACAGAUCACAAUCAUGCAUAUAUGCAUGUUGUUGCUUUCUACUAUGUACGUACUAAUUAACAAAUAAACAAAAUAGCUGUGUAUCCGGUGACCUUCCGGCGAUACGUACUUGUCUCAGUUUCCCGGCAUCCGUUUGAAGUGCCAAUAUAAUAAAUUCUGCGUGCUGUGUCAUCUUGUUUCUCUGUUUCCAUCGUUCAGUUUCUACAGAAGCAUAGGUACUCUGCUCCUCGUCCGCAUUCGAAGGGAGAAGAAGUUGACUAUGUUUCACUUUGACCAAGGCCCAACAUCACUCCACCCCAUCUGACUUUGUUUUAACUUAAGCCCAAUCAGGGUUUGACUUUUUCUUUUUACAUAGCAUAAAUCACAUAGACGAAUCUGUGUGUGUGCCGGUGAUGAAGAGUUAUCGAUUUUUAAAUUUAAUUAUAUAUUUUACAAAUUGAUACUAGUGUAAUGUUAUUUUUUUUCUUAUUUCGAACAAAAAAUAUUGACGAUAUUUGAACCAUAUAUGAUUGAGAUCGAUAAACUGAUGUUCGUUGAUUGAAACUGAUGAAUCAUACUUGGGCGGGUGGCUCAUGGGUCUGUCGGGUUGACAAAAAGGCGAGGCAUAAUGAACAGAACAUUACAGUUCCAUGUGAAAGCUACAGUUCUUUUUUGAAAAAAGAGAUUUCAUAUAUUAGUGAUCGUUAAUUCCAUACAUGGGUUACUCAUCAUCCCCAACAUUCAUAACAAGGUCGAGCCACUUUGGUGGAAACGAACAAUUCAUAGAAGAAACUGCAAGCCAAUCGACAAGCUUGUCCUAUCCGCAAGGAAGAAAAGACACUUGUAUAUUGGUGUUGAGCUUGAGCUUCGACUUCAUAUAUCCAAUGAUCACUACACAUAUCCAGGACCAGAGAGAGUCACUUUAAUUGAGGAUAUUCACUAGGGAUUGGCAGUCUGAGUAUUAAUGGGUCGGUUGAGCAGUAAAUAUAGCCAGAUUGAUGGCUUCAUGAAGAGCAUGAGCUUCCGCAACAAUCGGAGAAGAGGAAAGGAAACGAUCGCUGGAACCACCACAGAUAAGUCCAUGGCCAUUAGUCAUGAUAACGCCAUAAGCCGUCGGCUGUGAAUCGCUCAAGAACAGCCCGUCAUGAUGUAUCUCAAAGUUAUGAUUCUGAGGCGGUGAACAAGGCUGAGGAGUGGGAGGGGUAGGAAUGAAGGUGUUGGGAAUCAUGUUUUGACCAGCCCUCGGGGAAGACCAGUCGUCCAAAUCUCUUUCGCCGCCGGUUAUAGAGAUGCUAGGCACUGGAAGGAAGGAUUGGAAAGUGAAGGCGUUCCUAGCCUUCUAAAUGUUCCAUCAGUAGACAGCAAAUUUUGUGCUCAGUACUUGAGAGCAUAAGGAUUUGAGAAACCAAUGCUAACGUUCAGAAGAAAAGGACGUUGAAAAAGACGGAGAAACCAGUAGAGAGCUUCCCCAAGUCAUGGCCGCGUGAGUGCAAGUAAAUAGGCAAUGGGCGAGGUUUUCCUCUCUACGGUGGUAGAUCGAGCAAAGAGUGGUUGGAGAGUAGUGGCGUUUGGCUAAGUUGACCCUGGUGGCCAAAGCGUCUUUGCAGCAUCUCCACAGGAAAAAACAGAUCUUUGGCGGGAGGGAUAGACUCCAAAGCCACUUCCAAUUGUUGCUUGAAACGCCGUUAUGGGUCCUCGUGAUGGCAUUGGGGAUACGCCUGAUGGUAUGGUACGAAGACUUGACCGUAAACCGUCCCAAAGGGUUAUGCUUCCAUUUUCACUCGUCUUCCAUACCAACAGGAUCUAUCAGAAUUUUGCACAUAGCCGUGGUCUGGGAUUGAUUAAAGCAGAGCGCAAUAAGAUAUGUGUCCCAAGCUCGGGAAUCCUCCUUGGUCCAAGCAGUCGCUUUCAUUUCCCCUUGGUCCGGACCGAUCAAUUUAAAAGAGUCGAUCCAUGAGAUCUGUGGAUCGUGCGAAAAGUGAUUGUGGAUCCAUCACCAAGACCUUUGAAGGCCCCUAAUCGGAUAACCUCUUUGGCCUUGGAGAUGCUUGACCAAAUCCAUGACGAGCAGCAUCCUUUUGACGAGUCCAGGAACUCAACCUUGGUAAAAUAGAGACCUUUCAGAAGACGAACCCACAACGCAUAAGGGUUAUCGAGCAUUCGCCAUGCUUGUUUGCUAAGUAGAGCCAGGUUGAAGUAAUUGAAGUUCCGAUAUCCUAAACCCCCAUCCCAUUUGGGGGAACAUAAGACCUUUUCGUUGCAACAGUGAAUAAUUUUCUUGUUCAUUGAACCAGACCAGAAGAAGUUGCAAAGAAUUCGGUCCAUCUUCUUUGUGAGGGUAUUGGAGAGUAAGAACACUCCCAUGAUGUAUGUCGGAAUGGCCUGACUCACCGCCAUUCCGACAAAAUCGUGAAAGCUAAGUUGGAGAGAUAAUUUUUAUAUGAAAUCGUACACCACAAUAUUUAGUUCUUUUUUUAUUUAAAUACGACUACUGCAAAGUUCAAUCAAGGUCAAUUGGAGAAAUUAUUACUCAAAAUCACUACGUUUUAGAUAGGAAUGCAUAAAUUUCCUCCGUUAUCCAAAUUAUGUUUCCAUCAAUCAUACAUAUAUUUACGUUACUAGCAGUUCUUUCUCAGGUAAAAAAACACACCAAUAAGUCAAACAGAUGCAAGCUUUCGCUCUCCAAAAAAAAGUUCAUUCAACAACGAAAAUACUCGCCUUGAAUCCAAUAUUUUUGAAGCGGAAAAAUCUUAUGACUACUAGUGUCUCUUGAUCCAUCAGCAUGUUGGCCCCCCUACUGAGUCUCCCACCUUAACCACAAAAUCAUGCCCACCGCCUACAGAUUGCUAUCAACUGAAACUCUUCGGCGAUAGAUCCUACAAUCAGGAUUCAUCUGUAGCGGGUUAUGGGGUUGUUAUAACUAACUCUUAUGGACAGAUGUCCAGUGGCAAAGUUGGGAAACUUGUUUGUUCAUCUACCCUCAUAGCUGAAGCUAAAGCUCUUCUUGAAGCCCAUCGACUAGCUGAGAGAUCCAAUCUCAGGACUCUCGUCCUCGCUGGCAGUCACUCUUGUGCUGGUUGAUGCUCUUAGACGAGAUAAGGAUGAUUGGCCAGGGCAAUGUUUCACAUGGCUACUCCUCAUGAAGGACAUUCUCCUAUCUCAUGACUGAAUUUCCUUAUCGUUUAUCCCCGUCGUCUCAAUAAAGCGGCGGACUAUGUUGCUUGAGGCGCUCCUUCGGCCACGCUUCCUCAUAACUAGAUUCAUUGUACCUAUUUUUCUGAUUUAUUGUAAAGCGUUUUCCUUUAGAAAUGAAUAUACAUAUCAUCUAUUUUGUAAAAAUCGUGGAGGGGAGCCACGUUGGUUGCAUGAUAUAGGAAGGAAGGCGUUGCGAAAAAAAUUGAGUGCACAAUCGUGUCACGUCCCACAACUAAUAGUAGUUGAGACUUUUUUGGAUGUUCGUGAUCUUUAUAUACGAGUGAAUAGCUUGAGAAAGUCCUCUUAGAUGUAGUUAAAAAAGAGGUGUUUUACUACCAAAAUAAAGUACACAAGGAGAUUAGAGAGAUGGAAACACAAUAUUAUUGUUCUUGUGUCAUUGUGUGUGUGAGUGUGAGAAUCAUAGAAGUCGUCGUUGUGCGCCGAAUGAAGCAGAGAAGCCAAAUAUGAAGAAAGAAUAGUAGCUAGGAAGGUAGGAACUGUACGCAAGUGUAAUAAGAAGUGAACUUAAUUAGCCUUCUUCUUACUUCAUUUUCUUGACCUUUCAACCAUUUGUGUUCCUAUAUAUACCUCUGUAUAGCAAUACUACUCGAAUCAAAACAAAAACAAAGCAAGAGUUGAUUAAGAGUACUACUAGCUACUACUGUGUUCAACAGCUGAAUCCAAAUAGCUAUAAUAAUGGCUUCCAAAGCUGCAACUUUCUUCUUCUUUUUGCUGGUGGCAUCUUUGCUCAUUACUGCUUCUUUUGGAGCUCGUCCGGAUAUUGUCGAAAAAUCUGCCACCGGAAAUCUGCAGGUGAGUGAUGUUAGCUCCGCACCAUCUCCUCCAGUUUCAGACGUUAAUGAUGAAAUCGACUGUAAUGGUGAAGGAGGCAAAAAAACCAAAAAGAAGAAAAAGAAGAACAGUCCUGGAGCAGACGGUCCUGGUAAAAAUUAAUUAAUAGCAUGGGAUCUAUCGACUAUCGUCACCAUCAUCUAAGAAGUAGCUAGCUCCCUCCUGGCUGUUGUACUUUUCAUAUACUAACAAGUCUAUCUGCUUUCACAAAUCAUAAUCAUGCAUAUAUGCAUGUCGUAGCUUUCUACUAUGUACCUACUAAUUAAUAAAUAAACAAAAUAGCUACGUAUCCGGUGACCUUCCGGCGAUACGUACUUGUCUCAGUUUCUCGGCAUCCGUUUUAAGUGCAAAUAUAAUAAAUUCUGCGUGUUGUGUCAUGUUGUUAUUUCUCUGUUUCCAUCAUUGAGUUUCUACAGAAGCAGAGGUACUCUGCAGCUCGUCCGCAUUCGAAGGAAGAAGAAGUUGACUAUGUUUCACUUUGACCAAGGCCCAACGUCACUCCACCCCAUCCGACUUUGUUUUAACUUAAGCCCAAUCAGGGUUUGACAUUUUCUUUUUACAUAACAUAAAUCGCAUAGAAGAAUCGUUGUGUGAUGGUGAUGAAGAGUUAUCAAUUUUUAAAUUUAAUUUAUAUAUUUUAUAAAUGGACACUAGUGUAUAAUGUUAUUUUAAUUUUAUCUUUUGUUUUCUUAUCUCGCACAAAAACUAUUGACGAUAUUUGACCUGUAUCUGAUUGAGAUUGAUAAACUGAUAUUCGUUGGUUGAAACUGAUGAAUCAUACUUGGGUGGUUGGCUCAUGGGCCUGUCGGGUUGACAAGAUGGCGAGGCACAAUGAACAGAACAUUACAGUUCCAUGUGAAAGCUACAAUUCUUUUUUGGAAAAAGAGAUUUUAUAUAUUAGUGAUCGUUAAUUUCAUACAUGGGAUACUCGUCAUCCCCAGCAUUCAUAAUAAGGUCGAGCUAGUUUGGCGGAAGUGAACAAUUUCUAAAAAAAACUGCAAGCCAAUCGGCAACCUUGUUCUGUCCGCGAGGAAGAAAAGACACUUGUAUAUCGAUGUUGAGCCCGAGCUUCGACUUCAUAUAUCCAUUGAUCGCUGCACAUUCUUAAGAUUAGGGGGAGUCACUUUUAUUGAGGAUAUUCACUAGGGAUUGGCAAUCUUAGUAUAUAUGGGUCGGUUGAGCUGUAGAUAUAGCCAGAUUGAUGGCUUCAUGAAGAGCAUGACCUUCCGCAACAACCGGAGAAGAGCAAAGGAAACGAUCAUUGGAACCACCACAGAUAAGUCCAUGGGCGUUAGUCAUGAUAACGCCAUAAGCCGUCGGGGAAGACCAGUCAUCGGCCUUGGCCACCGCCUCAUAAUCAUGUUUCGACCAGCCAUUGGGGAAGACCAGUCGUCCAAAUCUCUUUCGGCGCCGGCUAUGGAGAUGCUAGGCACCGGAAGGAAGGAUCGAAAAGUGAAGGCGUUCCUAAUUUUCUAAACGUUCCAGCAAUAGACAACAAACUUUGCGAUCAGUACUUGAAAGCAGAAGGAUUUGAGAAACCAAUGCUAACUUUCAGAAGAAAAGGACGUUGAAAAAGACAGAGAAACCAGUAGAGAGCUUCCCCAAGUCAUGGUGCGUGAGUGCAAGUAAAUAGGCAAUGGGCGAGGUUUUCCUCUCUAUGGUGGCAGAUCGAGCAAAGAGUGGUUGGAGAGUAGUGGCGUUUGGCUAAAUUGACCUUGGUGGCCAAAGCGUCUUUGCAUUAUCUUUAUAGGAAAAAAACGGAUCUUUGGCGGGAGGGAUAGACUCCAAACCCACUUCCAAUUGUUGCUUGAAACGUCGUUAUGGGUCCCCGUGAUGGCAUUGGGGAUACGCCUGAUGGUAUGGUACGCAGACUUGACCGUAAACCAUCCCAAAGGGCAUGCUUCCAUCUUCACUCGUCUUCCAUACCAACCAGACCUAUCGAAAUUUUGCAGAUAUUCGUGGUAUGGGAUUGAUUAAAGUGGAGCGCAACAAGAUCAGUGUCCCAAGCUCGAGAAUCCUCCUUGAUCCAGGCAGCCGCUUUCAUUUCCCCUUGGUCCGGAACGGUCCAUUUAAAAGAGUCGAUCCAUGAGAUCCAUAGGUCGCGCGAAAAGUGAUUGUAGAGCCAUUACCAAGACAUUUGAAGGCCCCUACUCGGAUAACCUUUUUGGCCUUGAAGAUGCUUGACCAAAUCCAGGACGAGCAGGAUCAUUUUGACGAGUCCAGAAACUCAACCUUGGUAAAAUAGAGACCUUUCAGAAGACGAACCCACAACGCGUAAGGGUUAUCGAGCAUUCGCCAUGCUUGCUUGCUGAGUAAAGCCAGGUCGAAGUAAUUGAAGUUCCGAUAUCCCAAACCCCAUCUCUUUUGGGGGAACAUAAGACCUUUUCGUUGUAACAGUGAAUAAUUUUCUUGUUCAUUGAACCGGACCGGAAGAAGUUGCAAAGAAUUCGGUCCAUCUUCUUCGUGAGGGUAUUGGAGAGUAAGAACACUCCCAUGAUGUAUGUCGGAAUGGCCUGAAUCACUGCCAUUCCGACAAAAUCGUGAAAGCUAAAGUUGGAGAGAUAAUUUCUAUAUGAAAUCAUACACCACAAUGUUUAGUUCUGUUUUUAUUUAAAUACUACUACUGCAAAGUUCAAUCAAUGUCAAUUGGAGAGAUAAUUUCUCAAACUCACUACGUUUAAGAUAGGAAUGCAUAGGUUUCCCGUUAUCCAAAUUAUGUUUCCAUCAAUCAUACAUAUAUUUACGUUACUAACCGUUCUUUUUCCGGUAAAAAAACACACCAAUAAGUGAAAUAGAUGUAAGCUUUCGUUCUCCAAAAAAACUUCAUCCAACAACGAAAACACUCGCCCUGAAGCCAAUAUUUUUGAAGCGGAAAAAUCUUAUGACGACUGGGGUCUCUUGAUCCAUCGGCCUGUUGGCCCCCUACUGAGUCUCCCACCUUAACCACGAAAUCGCACCCACCGCCUACAAAUUGCUAUCAGCUGAAACUCUUCGGCGAUAGAUCCUACAAUCAGAAUUCAUCAUUAGCGGGUUAUGGGGUUGUUAUAACUAACUCUUAUGGACAGAUGUCCAGUGGCAAAGUUGGGAAACUUGUUUGUUCAUCUACCCUCAUAGCUGAAGCUAAAGCUCUUCUUGAAGCCCUUCGACUAGCUGAGAGAUCCAAUCUCAAGACUCUCGUCCUCACUGGCAGGCACUCUCGUGCUGGUUGAUGCUCUUAGACGAGAUAAGAAUGAUUGGCCAGAGCAAUAUUUCACAUGGCUACUCCUCAUGAAGAACCUUCUCCUACUCAUGACUGAAUUUCCUUAUCGUUUAUCCCUCGUCGUCUCAAUAAAGUAGCGGACUAUGUUGCUCGAGGCGCCCAUUCGAACACGCUCCCUCACAACUAGAUUCAUUGUACCUAUUUUUCUCAUUUAUUGUAAAACGUUUUCCUUUAGAAAUGAAUAUACAUAUCACUUUUUUUGAAAAAAAAAAAGUUCAUCUUCAAAAGACAAUUUUGUAAUUUAGAAUAAAACAAGAAGCUCAUCAAACAGAGGAAAAGACUUGAUUGCCCCUUUCAGCUAUUCACACGGUAUCCCACAAAAUGUGGCAAAGAAGGUCAACCAAUCGGCCACAAAAUGUUGCACAUGAAAUAUAGUAAUGAAGGUAGAACCGUACGCAACUGGAAUUUGAAGUGAACUUACUUAGCAUUCUUCUUACUUCAUUUUUUUGACUUUUUAUACCAUUUGUGUUUAUAUAUAUAUAUAACAAUACUACCCAAAUCAAAUCAACGAAUCCACUCUCAGAACAGCAAAAACAAAGCAAGAGUUAAUUAAGAGUACUACUAGCUACUACUGUGUUCAACAGCAGCUGAAUCCAAAUAGCUAUAAUAAUGGCUUCCAAAGCUGCAACUUUCUUCUUCUUUUUGCUGGUGGCAUCUUUGCUCAUUACUGCUUCUUUUGGAGCUCGUCCGGAUAUUGCCGACAAAUCUGCCACCGGAAAUCUGCAGGUGAGUGAUGUUAGCUCCGCACCAUCUCCUCCAGUUUCAGACGUUAAUGAUGAAAUCGAUUGUAAUGGCGACGGAGGCAAAAAAACCAAAAAGAAGAAAAAGAAGAACAGUCCUGGAGCAGACGGUCCUGGUAAAAAUUAAUUAAUGGCAUGGGAUCUAUCGACUAUCGUCACCAUCAUCUAAGAAGUAGCUAGCUCCCUCGUGGCUGUUGUACUUUUCAUAUACUAACAAGUCUAUCUGCUUUCACAAAUCACAAUCAUGCAUAUAUGCAUGUCGUUGCUUUCUACUAUGUACCUACUAAUUAAUAAAUAAACAAAAUAGCUACGUAUCCGGUGACCUUCCGGCGAUACGUACUUGUCUCAGUUUCCCGGCAUCCGUUUUAUGUGCAAAUAUAAUAAAUUCUGCGUGUUGUGUCAUGUUGUUGUUUCUCUGUUUCCAUCGUUCAGUUUCUACAGAAGCAGAGGUACUCUGCUCCUCGUCCGCAUUCGAAAGGAAGAAGAAGUUGACUAUGUUUCACUUUGACCAAGGCCCAACGUCACUCCACCCAUCCAACUUCGUUUUAACUUAAACCCAACCGUGUUUUUCUCGUGAGAUAGCAAAAUGACAAUUAAAA